RNAcentral lists this long non-coding RNA (387 nucleotides) under Capsicum annuum. RNAcentral's name for it is "long non-coding RNA (CANN_LNC007603)". The record is from RNAcentral. Lineage: Eukaryota; Viridiplantae; Streptophyta; Magnoliopsida; Solanales; Solanaceae.
UACUAUCAAGGCUGAAAUCUCAUAUCUCAAGGUGAAGAUACAUCAACUAUUUUCUGAGGGACCUGAUACCUCAGAUGAUCUGAAGGCUGAAAAUGAAGGGUUGAAGGCCCAGGUUUCUAUACUUACUGUUGAGGUUAAGGGUCUUACUAAUGAAGUCAAGAACUUCACAAAGUAGCACCAUAAUGUCCAUGUUACUGAAAGUACUAGAAUGGACAUGCCCCUCAAUUUGCUUGCCCCCAAACCUCCAUUUUCGUAAGCCCCGUUAUUGUUCUUACCUAAUUCUUUUCCUUCUUCCUAUCCAUUGUAUCUCUUUGGAUCAUAACAGUCUCUUAAGUAUUUUUAAUUUAUGUGAUGUGUAUGGUACUGUCUUCCCAUUUUAAUGAAGUG